RNAcentral lists this ribosomal RNA (587 nucleotides) under uncultured Bacillus sp. RNAcentral's name for it is "bacterial SSU rRNA". It matches the Rfam family "Bacterial small subunit ribosomal RNA", at positions 338 to 916 of the family's 1533-position model. Lineage: Bacteria; Bacillati; Bacillota; Bacilli; Caryophanales; Bacillaceae. The record is from RNAcentral.
CCUACGGGAGGCAGCAGUAGGGAAUCUUCCGCAAUGGACGAAAGUCUGACGGAGCAACGCCGCGUGAGCGAUGAAGGCCUUCGGGUCGUAAAGCUCUGUUGUCAGGGAAGAACAAGUACCGGAGUAACUGCCGGUACCUUGACGGUACCUGACCAGAAAGCCACGGCUAACUACGUGCCAGCAGCCGCGGUAAUACGUAGGUGGCAAGCGUUGUCCGGAAUUAUUGGGCGUAAAGCGCGCGCAGGCGGUUCCUUAAGUCUGAUGUGAAAGCCCCCGGCUCAACCGGGGAGGGUCAUUGGAAACUGGGGAACUUGAGUGCAGAAGAGGAGAGCGGAAUUCCACGUGUAGCGGUGAAAUGCGUAGAGAUGUGGAGGAACACCAGUGGCGAAGGCGGCUCUCUGGUCUGUAACUGACGCUGAGGCGCGAAAGCGUGGGGAGCGAACAGGAUUAGAUACCCUGGUAGUCCACGCCGUAAACGAUGAGUGCUAAGUGUUAGAGGGUUUCCGCCCUUUAGUGCUGCAGCAAACGCAUUAAGCACUCCGCCUGGGGAGUACGGCCGCAAGGCUGAAACUCAAAUGAAUUGACGG